UUACUAUGCCCACUUAUUCGUAAGUAAUUUUGGGAUUUUAAUUAAAGAGCUGACUUCACCAGGAAAUUUGUUAGCUUUAUUAUUCUACAGGUAACAGGUUUUAUCUUUUUUUUUUAUUCUAUUGAAAGAAACUCAAAUUUAUGUAGGUACCAUUAAGAAAUUGAACUUUAUCAUGUAUUCUGAUUCGUAUGCUUGCUUCACCUCAUUCCUUUAUCUUGCCCAAUUCAAUGUAGAUCCAUUUUAGAUAAUCAAUUAAUAUCGCCGGUUCUGUUUCUUCUCGAUCUACAUUGUCUUAUUUUCUGGCCAUACUUGUUUCCUAGAUUUAGCCAUAAAAUUUGUUUAGCUUUUUAGUACGUAACUUAGAAUUACCAUUUAAUUUUCUCCACAUUGACUCCAUGAAAGCAAAUCAGUUUUUUCAUCAACCGUUUAUUGCAUUUCUUUCGUGGAAGACUUAUCAUGGGCUGAACAUACGUUCCAGCAGCAAUCAUGCAUAUUAGAUACAACAGAUGCCAAGAAGCAUAUGAGAGCGGAGCUUAAACCCGAAUGAGGCUCCGAUCUGCCGCUUGCACUUUGGUGAUUAGGUUGUUUGGAUAUCAACGCCUCCACUAAAGCAGCGCGAUUUGUGAGAUUCUGUGAUGCUUUCAAUAUUCCACUUAUCACAUUCGUAGAUGUUCCAGGGUUCCUUCCAGGUACCAAUCAAGAAUACAAUGGCAUAAUUAGACACGGGGCAAAACUUCUCUAUGCAUACGCUGAAGCAACUGUACCUAAGCUAACAGUUAUUACGAGAAAGGGUUACGGAGGUGCUUAUGAUGUAAUGGCUUCUAAACAUCUCCGAGGUGAUGUAAACUAUGCAUGGCCGACCGCUGAAAUUGCAGUAAUGGGAGCUAAAGGAGCUGUUUCGAUCUUAUACAAAGGCAAAUCUAACCAACAAAAAUACGAAGAAGAAUAUAUCGAAAAAUUUGGGAAUCCUUUCCCAGCUGCAAUACGUGGUAAGGAGAGUUUAAUAUUA
Molecule: long non-coding RNA, 1009 nt
Filed under: Agrilus planipennis (emerald ash borer)
Lineage: Eukaryota; Metazoa; Arthropoda; Insecta; Coleoptera; Buprestidae
Description: uncharacterized LOC112905992, transcript variant X2
Source: RNAcentral